AUUUUAGUAGUAAUAUUAUAGCUUAAAUAUUAAAAGUUAUAAUCUCUAAAUUUAAAGAAUUUGGCGGUAAUUUAGUCCAGUUAGAGGAACCUGUUGUAUAAACGAUACACCACGCAAAAUCUUACCUGAUUUCAGUUUGUAUACCGUCAUUAUUAGAUAACUUUUAAAAAAUAAGUUAUUAAAAUAAAUUUAUUUUAAUAUAUUAGAUCAAGGUGCAGCACAUAAUUAGGAAAUUAAUGGGUUACAAUAAAAUUUAUUUAUAACGGAUAUAAAAUUUAAAUAUUUUGUUCAAGGAGGAUUUAAUAGUAAACUUAGUUUAAUAAGCUAAUUUGAUAAAGGACCUAAAUUGUGUACAUAUCGCCCGUCACUUUCAUUACCAAAUGAAAUAAGUCGUAACAUAG
RNAcentral lists this ribosomal RNA (401 nucleotides) under Biffarius delicatulus. Its description in RNAcentral is "partial small subunit ribosomal RNA". The record is from RNAcentral. Lineage: Eukaryota; Metazoa; Arthropoda; Malacostraca; Decapoda; Callianassidae.